This 253-nucleotide ribosomal RNA is filed under the name uncultured bacterium. Its description in RNAcentral is "partial 16S ribosomal RNA". It matches the Rfam family "Bacterial small subunit ribosomal RNA", at positions 524 to 776 of the family's 1533-position model. The record is from RNAcentral.
UACGGAGGGUGCAAGCGUUGUCCGGAUUUAUUGGGUUUAAAGGGUGCGUAGGCGGCCGAUUAAGUCCGGGGUGAAAGCCCGUUGCUAAACAACGGAACUGCCCUGGAAACUGGUGGGCUUGAGUACAGACGAGGGCGGCGGAAUGGGUGCUGUAGCGGUGAAAUGCAUAGAUAGCAUCCAGAACCCCGAUUGCGAAGGCAGCUGCCUAGGCUGUAACUGACGCUGAGGCACGAAAGCGUGGGGAGCGAACAGG